CGAACGCUGGCGGCGCGCCUAACACAUGCAAGUCGAACGAGCGAGAGAGAGCUUGCUUUCUCAAGCGAGUGGCGAACGGGUGAGUAACGCGUGAGGAACCUGCCUCAAAGAGGGGGACAACAGUUGGAAACGACUGCUAAUACCGCAUAAGCCCACGACCCGGCAUCGGGUAGAGGGAGAAGGAGCAAUCCGCUUUGAGAUGGCCUCGCGUCCGAUUAGCUGGUUGGUGAGGUAACGGCCCACCAAGGCGACGAUCGGUAGCCGGACUGAGAGGUUGAACGGCCACAUUGGGACUGAGACACGGCCCAGACUCCUACGGGAGGCAGCAGUGGGGAAUAUUGCACAAUGGGGGAAACCCUGAUGCAGCGACGCCGCGUGGAGGAAGAAGGUCUUCGGAUUGUAAACUCCUGUUGUUGAGGAAGAUAAUGACGGUACUCAACAAGGAAGUGACGGCUAACUACGUGCCAGCAGCCGCGGUAAAACGUAGGUCACAAGCGUUGUCCGGAAUUACUGGGUGUAAAGGGAGCGCAGGCGGGAAGGCAAGUUGGAAGUGAAAUCCAUGGGCUCAACCCAUGAACUGCUUUCAAAACUGUUUUUCUUGAGUAGUGCAGAGGUAGGCGGAAUUCCCGGUGUAGCGGUGGAAUGCGUAGAUAUCGGGAGGAACACCAGUGGCGAAGGCGGCCUACUGGACACCAACUGACGCUGAGGCUCGAAAGUGUGGGUAGCAAACAGGAUUAGAUA
This 741-nucleotide ribosomal RNA is filed under the name uncultured Lachnospiraceae bacterium. Its description in RNAcentral is "bacterial SSU rRNA". It matches the Rfam family "Bacterial small subunit ribosomal RNA", at positions 30 to 784 of the family's 1533-position model. Lineage: Bacteria; Bacillati; Bacillota; Clostridia; Lachnospirales; Lachnospiraceae. The record is from RNAcentral.